AUUCUCAGGGCGGGGUGUAAUUCCCCACCGGUGGUUAUAGCCCACGAGCGCUUAAUCGUUUAUUUUGUUGGUUUAGUGCGGUAUGUUUCCGACUAAACACUCAAUAUCUUUAAUCGAUUAAGGUCUAGCAGAUUUGGUGUGAUUCCAAAGCCGACAGUUAAAGUCUGGAUGAAAGAGAGU
This 180-nucleotide non-coding RNA is filed under the name uncultured Gilliamella sp. Its description in RNAcentral is "FMN riboswitch (RFN element)". It matches the Rfam family "FMN riboswitch aptamer (RFN element)". Rfam says of the family: The RFN element is a highly conserved domain that is found frequently in the 5'-untranslated regions of prokaryotic mRNAs that encode for flavin mononucleotide (FMN) biosynthesis and transport proteins. The record is from RNAcentral. Lineage: Bacteria; Pseudomonadati; Pseudomonadota; Gammaproteobacteria; Orbales; Orbaceae.